GACGAACGCUGGCGGCGUGCUUAACACAUGCAAGUCGAACGGAAAGGCCCUGCUUUUGUGGGGUGCUCGAGUGGCGAACGGGUGAGUAACAAGUGAGUAACCUGCCCUUGACUUUGGGAUAACUUCAGGAAACUGGGGCUAAUACCGGAUAGGAGCUCCUGCUGCAUGGUGGGGGUUGGAAAGUUUCGGCGGUUGGGGAUGGACUCGCGGCUUAUCAGCAUGUUGGUGGGGUAGUGGCUUACCAAGGCUUUGACGGGUAGCCGGCCUGAGAGGGUGACCGGCCACAUUGGGACUGAGAUACGGCCCAGACUCCUACGGGAGGCAGCAGUGGGGAAUAUUGCACAAUGGGCGGAAGCCUGAUGCAGCAACGCCGCGUGCGGGAUGACGGCCUUCGGGUUGUAAACCGCUUUCGCCUGUGACGAAGCGUGAGUGACGGUAAUGGGUAAAGAAGCACCGGCUAACUACGUG
RNAcentral lists this ribosomal RNA (468 nucleotides) under uncultured bacterium. RNAcentral's name for it is "partial 16S ribosomal RNA". It matches the Rfam family "Bacterial small subunit ribosomal RNA", at positions 28 to 507 of the family's 1533-position model. The record is from RNAcentral.